Molecule: microRNA precursor, 183 nt
Filed under: Oryza brachyantha (malo sina)
Lineage: Eukaryota; Viridiplantae; Streptophyta; Magnoliopsida; Poales; Poaceae
Description: MIR812 microRNA precursor family
Rfam family: MIR812 microRNA precursor family
Source: Rfam by way of RNAcentral
UUUUUGUUUUUUCGUGUCCAACGUUUGAUCAUUCGUCUUAUUUGAAAAAUUUGUACAAAAAAUUAAAAAAAAUUAGUCACAUAUAAAGUAUUGUUCAUAUUUUAUCAUUUAGUAAUAAUAAAAAUAUUAAUCGCAAAAAAAUUUCAAAUAAUACAAAUGGUCAAACAUUGGACAUGGAAAAAC